GGAUAGCUCUGUUGAUAGAGCAUGAGACUCUUAAUCUCAGGAUCGUGAGUUUGAGCCCCACGGUGGGCA
RNAcentral lists this transfer RNA (69 nucleotides) under Podarcis lilfordi (Lilford's wall lizard). Its description in RNAcentral is "tRNA.Lys". The stretch from base 4 to 61 matches the Rfam family "tRNA", at positions 8 to 63 of the family's 71-position model. From Rfam's summary of the family: Transfer RNA (tRNA) molecules are approximately 80 nucleotides in length. Their secondary structure includes four short double-helical elements and three loops (D, anti-codon, and T loops). Lineage: Eukaryota; Metazoa; Chordata; Lepidosauria; Squamata; Lacertidae. The record is from RNAcentral.